GAUGAACGCUGGCGGCGUGCCUAAUACAUGCAAGUCGAGCGAACGGACGAGAAGCCUGCUUCUCUGAUGUUAUCGGCGGACGGGUGAGUAACACGUGGAUAACCUACCUAUAAGACUGGGAUAACUUCGGGAAACCGGAGCUAAUACCGGAUGAUAUUUUGAACCGCAUGGUUCAAAAGUGAAAGACGGUCUUGCUGUCACUUAUAGAUGAAUCCGCGCUGCAUUAGCUAGUUGGUAAGGUAACGGCUUACCAAGGCAACGAUGCAUAGCCGACCUGAGAGGGUGAUCGGCCACACUGGAACUGAGACACGGUCCAGACUCCUACGGGAGGCAGCAGUAGGGAAUCUUCCGCAAUGGGCGAAAGCCUGACGGAGCAACGCCGCGUGAGUGAUGAAGGUCUUCGGAUCGUAAAACUCUGUUAUUAGGGAAGAACAUAUGUGUAAGUAACUGUGCACAUCUUGACGGUACCUAAUCAGAAAGCCACGGCUAACUACGUG
Molecule: ribosomal RNA, 497 nt
Filed under: uncultured bacterium
Lineage: Bacteria
Description: partial 16S ribosomal RNA
Rfam family: Bacterial small subunit ribosomal RNA
Source: RNAcentral